RNAcentral lists this ribosomal RNA (326 nucleotides) under uncultured Moryella sp. RNAcentral's name for it is "partial 16S ribosomal RNA". Lineage: Bacteria; Bacillati; Bacillota; Clostridia; Lachnospirales; Lachnospiraceae. The record is from RNAcentral.
GGAGUUUGGGCCGUGUCUCAGCCCAAUGUGGCCGGUCAUCCUCUCAGAUCGGCUACUGAUCGUCGUCUUGGUGGGCCGUUACCCCGCCAACUAACUAAUCAGACGCGGGUCCAUCUCACACCACCGGAGUUUUUACCCCUGUACCAUGCGGUACUGUGGUCUUAUGCGGUAUUAACAGCCGUUUCCAACUGUUAUCCCCCUGUGUGAGGCAGGUUACCCACGCGUUACUCACCCGUCCGCCACUAAGUAUUGAAAAUCUAUCCGAAGACUUCAUUCUCAAUACUCCGUUCGACUUGCAUGUGUUAAGCACGCCGCCAGCGUUCAUC